This 438-nucleotide ribosomal RNA is filed under the name uncultured bacterium. RNAcentral describes it as "bacterial SSU rRNA". It matches the Rfam family "Bacterial small subunit ribosomal RNA", at positions 335 to 762 of the family's 1533-position model. The record is from RNAcentral.
ACUCCUACGGGAGGCAGCAGUAGGGAAUCUUCCACAAUGGGCGAAAGCCUGAUGGAGCAACGCCGCGUGGGUGAAGAAGGUCUUCGGAUCGUAAAACCCUGUUGUUAGAGAAGAAAGUGCGUGAGAGUAACUGUUCACGUUUCGACGGUAUCUAACCAGAAAGCCACGGCUAACUACGUGCCAGCAGCCGCGGUAAUACGUAGGUGGCAAGCGUUAUCCGGAUUUAUUGGGCGUAAAGGGAACGCAGGCGGUCUUUUAAGUCUGAUGUGAAAGCCUUCGGGCUUAACCGGAGUAGUGCAUUGGAAAACUGGGGAGACUUGAGUGCAGAAGAGGAGAGUGGAACUCCAUGUGUAGCGGUGAAAUGCGUAGAUAUAUGGAAGAACACCAGUGGCGAAAGCGGCUCUCUGGUCUGUAACUGACGCUGAGGUUCGAAAGCGU